Long non-coding RNA from Hippopotamus amphibius kiboko, 472 nucleotides. RefSeq lists it as uncharacterized. NCBI's taxonomy places the organism in Eukaryota, Metazoa, Chordata, Mammalia, Artiodactyla, Hippopotamidae. The record is from RefSeq and is a predicted model, not a curated record. The transcript has 5 exons.
CUGUCAUCAGUGAUCAUCCCAGAACCCUUGCCUCCUCGCCUACCACCCUCAGUUACCCUGGGCACAUGGGGCAUAAGGAUUCUGGCCCCAAACCAGAGAGGGAACGCUUGUUGAGAUUUCUCAAGGAAAGAAUUUCCUUUUUUCCCUUUUAUCAAGGACCAAGGCCAAGAAAGCCUGGAGAAUUGGGUGCUAAAAAAUCACAGCACUUCACCUUCAUGACCCAAGAGAUGGUUUCGUGACCAAGGCCUGACAACCACGGCUGUCCACUGCACUGGCCACAAGAAGCAUCAGAGCAAUGGGCAGGACUAAAGCGAGAAAUAAACCAUAUCUAGGAUUCCAUGCAUGCAAUGAGAGGAAUUCGAUGAGAUAGCUGCCACUGUCUCUCUUCCUUCUCAGAAAUGGACCAAGACCCCCAGCUACCACCACACAGAGAUGAUAGUUGAACAGCUGAAGGUUAAGUGGUUUAUUUAAC